Molecule: long non-coding RNA, 667 nt
Organism: Canis lupus familiaris (dog)
Lineage: Eukaryota; Metazoa; Chordata; Mammalia; Carnivora; Canidae
Exons: 5
Source: RefSeq, a predicted model, not a curated record
CAUCACUAUGACUAUGGAACAAGAAAAAGACUCAAAUGAGAAGCAAAGAUUGAAGUGUGUGUAUUGAUCUCCUGUGUCCUUAUUUGGUCCCAGAGUGGAGAGCAGGAAAAAUUCCUAUUUGAAAGGAUGUGACUGCAUUUGACCUCAAUGGCUCUGAAACUCAGAAAGAGGAAGGCAAAAGAUGAACAAAGAUACAUGAUUUCUGACCAGGUUUGAACUAUUAAGACAAAGCUGCUGGGAACAAUCAUAUACACGUCUUUAUGAAGAUAAAUUUCCAUUUUCUUGGUCAAAAGAAGAAAAGUGAAAUUGCUUGGUCAUAUGAUCAAUAUUUUGGUAUCAUGGCUAAUGUUCUUCACCAAACUCUAGUCCAAAAGGUUGUCAACAAUGACAUCUUGACAUCGUAAGUGGUUGAAUCCAUCCUAGGAGAACAUGUUUUUAUGUACACAUUGACAUGAGACUUAAGUGAAGUCAGAAACUGAAUAUCUGAAGAAGGAAAAAGAAUUAUUUGAAGACUAAAGCACUAAACAGAGAAGAUAAUAAUCCUAAAACAACUUUCAACUUUGACCAGUCCUAUAUCAAACUAGCUUUCAGCAGGAAGUUGUGAUCUAAAGUGAGAAAAUGUAUUUUAAAUGAUCAUAAAUAUGAAAAUCACAUCAUGGCUCAUUUA